UGGGGAAUAUUGGACAAUGGGCGCAAGCCUGAUCCAGCCAUGCCGCGUGUAUGAUGAAGGCCCUAGGGUUGUAAAGUCCUUUUAACGGGGAAGAUAAUGACGGUACCCGUAGAAUAAGCCCCGGCUAACUUCGUGCCAGCAGCCGCGGUAAUACGAAGGGGGCUAGCGUUGCUCGGAAUUACUGGGCGUAAAGCGCACGUAGGCGGACCGAUAAGUCGGGGGUGAAAUCCUGGAGCUCAACUCCAGAACUGCCUUCGAAACUGCCGGUCUUGAGUUCGGGAGAGGUGAGUGGAACUGCGAGUGUAGAGGUGAAAUUCGUAGAUAUUCGCAAGAACACCAGUGGCGAAGGCGGCUCACUGGCCCGAUACUGACGCUGAGGUGCGAAAGCGUGGGGAGCAAACA
Molecule: ribosomal RNA, 402 nt
Filed under: uncultured bacterium
Lineage: Bacteria
Description: bacterial SSU rRNA
Rfam family: Bacterial small subunit ribosomal RNA
Source: RNAcentral